GGGAAAAGCAAAAAUAUUGCAGGAAAACACAUGAGGUAUCUACCAAAAAGAAAUAAAAAAAUGCUUAAACAGAUUAGGACCUGCAAAUUUAGCAGAAACUUUUCUCCUUGGGUGUGCAGUAACUUGACACUAAGACCACAAAGGAGGUUGCUUGACACUUUUAGAAUCGAGCACGGUGAGACGCUAUCUGAAUCGGAAUGGCUUUG
RNAcentral lists this unclassified non-coding RNA (206 nucleotides) under Hevea brasiliensis (rubber tree). Lineage: Eukaryota; Viridiplantae; Streptophyta; Magnoliopsida; Malpighiales; Euphorbiaceae. The record is from RNAcentral.